This 417-nucleotide RNase P RNA is filed under the name Limibacillus halophilus. Its description in RNAcentral is "Bacterial RNase P class A". It matches the Rfam family "Bacterial RNase P class A". Rfam says of the family: Ribonuclease P (RNase P) is a ubiquitous endoribonuclease, found in archaea, bacteria and eukarya as well as chloroplasts and mitochondria. The record is from Rfam by way of RNAcentral. Lineage: Bacteria; Pseudomonadati; Pseudomonadota; Alphaproteobacteria; Rhodospirillales; Rhodovibrionaceae.
CCAGAUGGCCGGAUGGCUGCCUUUGGCGUUUCGGGCGCAAGCCCGGGGCGCCGGGGGAGGAAAGUCCGGGCUCCACGGAAACACGGUGCCGGGUAACGCCCGGCGGGGGCGACCCUAGGGAAAGUGCCACAGAAAGCAAACCGCCACCCGGAACGUGCCGCAAGGGACGCCGGAGGUAAGGGUGAAAGGGUGCGGUAAGAGCGCACCGCGCGACCGGCAACGGAAGCGGCAGGGCAAACCCCACCGGGAGCAAGACCAAGUAGGGACGGCAGGGCUCCUUGAGGGUUCAGGCGGGUUUUCGCGCCGCCGUCCGGGUCGGUCGCGCGAGGCGUCCGGUAACGGGCGUCCCAGAUGAAUGGCCAUCUCGGGAGGCUUCGGCCUUUCGGACAGAACCCGGCUUACAGGCCAUCUGGCUCU